AUGGAUCCUAGCUACUGUCGCAGAUCAAAGAGUGAGGAUGAGUUUGCUCUUUUUGUUCUUCCUACUUUAGGAGAACACUCAUAUUCCUCAAGGAGACCUAUGCACACUUCAAUACUCACAGGUGCACGGCGUGUAAAUAAAAUUUUAAAUGGACAUGAAGACCUAUGCAAAAGGCAUUUCAGAAUGGAGACUGUUAUAUUUCAAGCUUUGGUUCAGAAAUUGCGCGAGAAUGAUCGCCUUGUUGAUGGAAGAGAUGUCUCAGUAGAAGAACAAGUGGCUAUAUUUUUGUAUGCAUUAUCUAAGAAUGCAACAAAUGAUACUUUGGCAGAUUGGUUUCAGCAUAGUGGACAAACAAUCAAUUACUAUUUUGGUGAAGUGCUCAGUGCAAUUACCGAACUCUAUUCUGUAUACAUACGUCCACCUUCCCUACACCCGCAUCCAAUCUUGAGUAAAGAAAAGUUCUACCCUUUCUUUAUGAAUUGCAUCGGCGCUAUAGAUGGUACACAUAUUCCAUUGAAACUACCUGCUGAUGAGCAAGAACCAUAUCGCAAUAGGAAGCAAACAUUGUCGCAAAAUGUUAUGGUAGCAUGUGAUUUUGAUCUGAAGUUUGUGCAUGUGCAUGCUGGUUGGGAGGGAUCGGCUUCAGAUGCAAGAGUCCUACAGGAUGCACUUAACCAUGGUUUUCAAGUACCCCUCGGAAAAUUUUACCUUGUAGAUGCUGGUUAUGCAAACACACCAUAA
RNAcentral lists this ribosomal RNA (741 nucleotides) under Triticum aestivum (bread wheat). RNAcentral's name for it is "partial small subunit ribosomal RNA". The record is from RNAcentral. Lineage: Eukaryota; Viridiplantae; Streptophyta; Magnoliopsida; Poales; Poaceae.